GACGAACGCUGGCGGCGUGCUUAACACAUGCAAGUCGAACGGAAAGGCCCUGCUUUUGUGGGGUGCUCGAGUGGCGAACGGGUGAGUAACACGUGAGUAACCUGCCCUUGACUUUGGGAUAACUUCAGGAAACUGGGGCUAAUACCGGAUAGGAGCUCCUGCUGCAUGGUGGGGGUUGGAAAGUUUCGGCGGUUGGGGAUGGACUCGCGGCUUAUCAGCUUGUUGGUGGGGUAGUGGCUUACCAAGGCUUUGACGGGUAGCCGGCCUGAGAGGGUGACCGGGAAAAGUGGGACUGAGAUACGGCCCAGACUGCAACGGGAGGCAGCAGGGGGGAAUAUUGCAAAAUGGGCGGAAGCCUGAUGAAGAAACGCCGCGUGCGGGAUGAAGGCCUUCGGGUUGUAAACAGAUUUAGCAUGUGACGAAGAGUGAGUGACGGUAAUGGGUAAAGAAGCACCGGCUAACUACGUG
This 468-nucleotide ribosomal RNA is filed under the name uncultured bacterium. RNAcentral describes it as "partial 16S ribosomal RNA". It matches the Rfam family "Bacterial small subunit ribosomal RNA", at positions 28 to 507 of the family's 1533-position model. The record is from RNAcentral.